UAAGUAAGUAAACUGUAGUCUCUUAAAU
RNAcentral lists this non-coding RNA (28 nucleotides) under Bombyx mori (domestic silkworm). The record is from RNAcentral. Lineage: Eukaryota; Metazoa; Arthropoda; Insecta; Lepidoptera; Bombycidae.